CAUAGGGAAAAUAAGGCAUCACUUGUUGUCCUACCUGAUUUGUUGAUGGAGCUUGAUAGUAUGGAUGAGGAAACAACACUACUUACUCUCAUUGAAGGUGUUCUUGCUGCAAACAUUUUUGAUUGGGGAUCUCGUGCAUGUGUGGAUCUCUAUCAUAAAGGAACUAUUAUUGAAAUUUACAGAAUGAGUC
This is a long non-coding RNA of Glycine soja, 190 nucleotides long. RefSeq lists it as uncharacterized. Lineage: Eukaryota; Viridiplantae; Streptophyta; Magnoliopsida; Fabales; Fabaceae. The record is from RefSeq and is a predicted model, not a curated record. The transcript is spliced from 2 exons.